CCACGCCGCCCGCCCCCACGCCCCCACGCCCCACGACGCCCACCCCCACACCACUAUGCCCCCACGUGCCACGACGCCACGCCCCACGACGUCCUCCCUCACGCCCCCACGCCGCCCGCCCCCACGCCCCACGCCCCACGCCCCACGCCGUCCGCCCCCAAGCCCCCACGCCCCACGACGCCAGUCCCUAUGACGCCACGCCCGGGCAGCUUUGCGGGAAGGCGGCAGAACCCUGCGGCUGCGGAUGGAGCUGGCCGGCGGGGACUCUAGGGGACCGUCAGCUUUCAAAGGAGCCCCCUCCAAACCAGUGUUUCUGAAGCCCGGGAACAGACGCUCCGUCCGCCAGCGCUCAGAGAGGCCGCGGUUGAACUCCAAUAGCAGGAGAGCGGCUUUGAGUCGGCCCGAGAGGACCCUGUUUCUGAUGACAACGUGCAGGCAAGAGCCAUACAUCGGAAAAGACCUGCAAACGUGUGAAGACCCGAGAUUCUUUACGUUCAUGGCUGUCAGUCAUUUCUAGAGAAAUAUUUUCCUUUCAAACGUCUGUUCCAUGUGAAGGUCCGCUGUGGGGCCUUCGCCUCGCCCGUCCUGGUGUGUCCUUGUUCUUUGUCGGACACUCGAUCUCACGUGACAAGUUCCACUUAUUCUGCCUUCCCAGCAGGUCAGAGAUGAUGUGAUUAUGUGGUUGAUUUUCUUUCAUAUGCGGUGAGGAGAUCAGUGGUGUGUAGAUGCCAUGUUGAAUUGACUCCUUUGCCAGAGUUGACUCCGGCACGAUCACUGCUCUUUCACUUCAUUUAAAAGAGUCUAAGUCUGCAGCGUCUUGUAGAACUGAUGGUUUUUUUAAGGAAGAGACUCUUUUGUUUAUUUCCGAAAUACUGUGAAAUUUAUAAGCCGAGUCACAGUUACCAGUUUUCUCUCAAAAUCUCUUUCUCUUGAAAUAAAAAUCUCCCUUCUAUUUAUCA
This 959-nucleotide long non-coding RNA is filed under the name Felis catus (domestic cat). RNAcentral describes it as "lncRNA (ENSFCAG00000044910.2)". Lineage: Eukaryota; Metazoa; Chordata; Mammalia; Carnivora; Felidae. The record is from RNAcentral.